UACGGAGGGUGCAAGCGUUGUUCGGAAUCAUUGGGCGUAAAGCGCGUGUAGGCGGCUUGGCAAGUCGGUUGUGAAAGCCCGGGGCCCAACCCCGGAAUUGCAUCUGAAACUGCCUCGCUAGAGUCCCGGAGAGGAAGGCAGAAUUCCCGGUGUAGGGGUGAAAUCCGUAGAUAUCGGGAGGAAUACCAGCGGCGAAGGCGGCCUUCUGGACGGUGACUGACGCUGAGACACGAAGGCCAGGGGAGCAAACGGG
This 253-nucleotide ribosomal RNA is filed under the name uncultured bacterium. RNAcentral describes it as "partial 16S ribosomal RNA". It matches the Rfam family "Bacterial small subunit ribosomal RNA", at positions 524 to 776 of the family's 1533-position model. The record is from RNAcentral.